AGGCUGAAGGAAGGAAAUUGACCAAUGAUGAAGUCUUUAUCUUCCCAGGUAGCUUCCUCAAUAGGCUUGUUCUUCCAAUGGAUAAGAACUUGAGAAAUAGAUAUGUCAUGUCGGAUGACUGUCCGUUGUUCUAAAGCUGUCUCUGGUUCCCAUAUAGAAUCUUCACUAGCCUCCAAACUAGCAGGAAGAGUUGAAUUAACUACAGCAUCACCAACAGCUUUCUUAAGCAAGGACACAUGGAAAACAGGAUGGAUUCGAGAUGUAGGCGGUAACUCCAACCUGUAAGCAACAGCCCCAACACGUUCAAUCACCUUAAACGGACCAAAAUACCUC
RNAcentral lists this long non-coding RNA (333 nucleotides) under Trifolium pratense (red clover). Its description in RNAcentral is "long non-coding RNA (TPRA_LNC013996)". The record is from RNAcentral. Lineage: Eukaryota; Viridiplantae; Streptophyta; Magnoliopsida; Fabales; Fabaceae.